Molecule: non-coding RNA, 2911 nt
Organism: Zootoca vivipara (common lizard)
Lineage: Eukaryota; Metazoa; Chordata; Lepidosauria; Squamata; Lacertidae
Source: RefSeq, a predicted model, not a curated record
GGGCUCAGGUCUUCUUGGCAAAGUGUGAAUGAGCAAGCAGAUUCUCCUCAGAAAGAGGGGCAGGCAUGGUAUAUGUCAGAAGCCGUGGCAGCCACUCCUUGUAAUGACUGCUCUCUUAGGUCUUCCAGCCUUUGCUACAUUGAGAGAAAGAGACAGUGAAAGUAGAUGUGAUCUGAGCAGCAGGCCUACUCAGCUGUGGCUCUUUCCCAAAUUCUUACGGUACUGUGGCAUCUUCUGGAGGGCGGAGCACAAGUGAGAAGAAUAAGAGGUGGCACCUUCUGACACAAGCAGCCAACUCUCCCUGCUUGGAUUCCUGCACUCCUCCCCUCUGUGUCCUGGGCAUACCCAAUCUGUUGCACCUCUGAGAGUCAGAGAUCAGGUGAGCGACCAGAAACAAUGGCAGCUGUUCCUUGUAACCAACCACUUUUGUGGACACCUGAGCACCAGCUAGCUUGCAACACUUUGCCAUCCGACUGAGAGAUGGAGGUGUGGUUAUUGCUGUGCAUGGCACAGAGGUGGGAACAAACAAACAAACAGAGAGCAGGCUUUCCCUACUCAAUGGUGCCUAGACUUCUCAGGUGCUGCUGCAUCUCCUGAGUGAUUGGUGCCUUCACAACUGCCUGAGGCUUCUAAGCUUUGAUGCAUCAGCUAAACUCCACUAGUUUCAGUGAUUCCUCUCAGUAUGUAGUUCUGCCUUUUUGUACCUGGUUCUUGUUGUUGAACUUCUGGGUUCUACUAAAAGAAAUAGACUAUAUCCUGCAACCCUAAAGUCCCCUCCUACUUGACAUAUAACUUAGGAAAGGAGGCCAGAUAACAUACAAUAUUUCUGGCUUAGCUUCACUUCUUUCAUGUUUUACAUUAUGGCAACUUCUACAUGGCAAUACUGGGAUUUAGUUGACUCUUUCCUGUUCUUUGCUUGCUGUUAUUAGCGAACAACUAAAAUAAAAUAAAAUAAAAUAAAGUCUUUGUUCAAGCUGUCUUGUUGAUCAAGUGGAGCAUGACAAAACAUGCAGGUACAUUUUGUCUUAUCAUUUUUAUCAAUUUAAGCAAAUAACUUAAGUUCCACAAUUGUCUUAUAGGGAACAGGAUCACCACAUAUGUAGAAGUGUUCCAGUCUUGGGGCUUGGAUGCUAAUGAGCAUGAUGUGGAAAGAUGCAGACACGGAAGUCAAGGGUUUCUUUUCUGAUUCUACCACUAGGAGGAACAAAUGCAUUUGAAGGCAGAGAGACCCAGAACCUCUCCGAUGAUUGGCAGGAGGUUGAGACUGUCAAGCAAGAAAGACUAUUGCAGUCAAGGUCAACUGGGUUUUUUUGAGUGUUCUAUAAUUCUUAAUUUGGCUGCUCACCAGUUCUUAGUCAUUGUUCCUUCUUUAUUCACAAGUACAUACGACUGUGAUCAACUAAUGAUACAACACUGAAAGGGAUACUGCACACUUUCAUAAUUUUUGUACACUAAAUAAGGGGACAUAAAAAUGCACCUGAAAAGUAGGCAACAGCCUUCAUGUUCUCCUGACCACGUAUAUAAGAAGAGCUCUUCUGUAUCAGGCCAAAGGACCAUCUAAUCCCUCAUCCUGUUCUCAUAGUGGUCAACCAGAUACCUAUGAGAAACGUGAAAGGAGGAGCUGAGCAUAACAACACUCUCCUUACUUGUGAUUCCAAUAUAACCCUAUUUGUCUAAUCCUCCUUUAAAGCUAUCCAACUUGGGAGCUAUCAUUACACCCUGUAGAAGCAAAAUAAGCCCCCCACUUUUAAAAAAUAUAUUAAAAAACCUUUUACAGGGUCCCUUAAGGGAAGAAAGAAAUGGCCAUAACAUGUAGACACUGGUAGAAGGUAAGUUUUAUCUCCCAGGAGAUCAAUGUUCAGUUAUUAUUUCUACUACAUCACAUGGAGGAAGCAAGAAAUACUGCAGUGAUUAGGACAAAUUGGGAUUGAUGUGAGUUGAAGUUAACAGUCAUGAACUUGGCCUUGGGCUUGAUUUUGCCUACUGCCAAAUGUACUCUCCCAAUCCAGUGAAGUAUGUAAGCAAGAAUUUCACUUUAGGAAUCAGAGGAGCUGUUGUCCGAUAGAGGCUCAGGAUGCCAAAGUUCUGUUUUGCUAUUGGCACACAGGCAAAAGCAUCAGGGUUAAGUGAGCAUUCAUUUCUGCAGCCAAAGAUUGCUGUAUCUUUUGCCACAAAUGCUCCUAAACUGCAAAGAAUGUUAAUUGCGACAGGCAUUCCAAUACAAAGGAAUUCACUUCUAUUCCUGCACAGAGAAGGACAGUCACUAUGAGAAUUAUUAAGCUGAGCCACCUCACUGUAAAUAAAAUGGUUAUGGACUGUGCCCUUUCAUGCUCACAGAUUAUAUCACUACCCACCCACCCUCCUCCUGAGCUGUGUCUUCUGGUUUCUGAGCAGCAUUUAUUGUGACUCACUAGCAGGGACUAAGGGAAUGAGCAGCCGUAGAGUUUGAAAGAACUCUGCAUAGGCUACAUAAAGGAGGAGACACUUGCAAUGGUUCUCAUAAGUCAAAACUUCUCUGUGUGGAACAAAUGUUCAAUCCAAUACUCUUACUGCAUGUGGUAGUCAAUCAGGAACAGUUCCAGAUCUUCCAGAUUAUUUUUUGUUGUCAGUCUCCUAAAUACAAGGGACUUGCUUCAGGGCAGGAGGAGCAGACAACAGGGGUGCUGGUACUCCAGGCCAAAUUAAGGUUGGCGAUUAUAUACUUUAGAACAAGGGUAGCCUUCCAAAUAUUCCUGGACUGUAGGUCCCAUCUAUCCUGACCAUUGGUCCUGCUGGCUGGGGCAGAUGGGAGCUGGAGUCUAGCAACAUCUGGGGAAUACCUCUGGGAUUUGGGUGGAAUUGAUUUUAUUGAAGACUUAGGUUGUGUUGUGGAGGAAAUUGCUAAAAAAUAAUAAUAGCAGGACAUGAAUUU